GGACGAACGCUGGCGGCGUGCUUAACACAUGCAAGUCGAACGGAAAGGCCCUGCUUUUGUGGGGUGCUCGAGUGGCGAACGGGUGAGUAACACGUGAGUAACCUGCCCUUGACUUUGGGAUAACCUCAGGAAACUGGGGCUAAUUCCCGAUAGGAGCUCCUGCUGCAUGGUGGGGGUUGGAAAGUUUCGGCGGUUGGGGAUGGAUUCGCGGCUUAUCAGCUCGUUGGUGGGUUAGUGGCUUACCAAGGCUUUGACGGGUAGCCGGCCUGAGAGGGUGAACGGCGACAUUGGGACUAAGAUACGGCGCAGAAUCCUACGGGAGGCAGCAGGGGGGAAUAUUGCACAAUGGGGGGAAGCCUGAUGCAGAGACGCCGCGUGCGGGAUGACGGCCUUCGGGUUGUAAACCGAUUUGGAAGGUGACGAAGAGUGAGUGACGGUAAUGGGUAAAGAAGCAACGGCUAACUACGUG
RNAcentral lists this ribosomal RNA (469 nucleotides) under uncultured bacterium. RNAcentral describes it as "partial 16S ribosomal RNA". It matches the Rfam family "Bacterial small subunit ribosomal RNA", at positions 27 to 507 of the family's 1533-position model. The record is from RNAcentral.